Molecule: ribosomal RNA, 355 nt
Filed under: uncultured Tenacibaculum sp.
Lineage: Bacteria; Pseudomonadati; Bacteroidota; Flavobacteriia; Flavobacteriales; Flavobacteriaceae
Description: bacterial SSU rRNA
Rfam family: Bacterial small subunit ribosomal RNA
Source: RNAcentral
GGAGGCAACUCUGAACCAGCCAUGCCGCGUGCAGGAAGACUGCCCUAUGGGUUGUAAACUGCUUUUAUACAGGAAGAAACAGUCCUACGUGUAGGGCCUUGACGGUACUGUAAGAAUAAGCACCGGCUAACUCCGUGCCAGCAGCCGCGGUAAUACGGAGGGUGCAAGCGUUAUCCGGAAUCAUUGGGUUUAAAGGGUCCGCAGGCGGUCAAUUAAGUCAGAGGUGAAAUCCUAUAGCUUAACUAUAGAACUGCCUUUGAUCCUGGUUGACUUGAGUUAUACGGAAGUAGAUAGAAUAUGUAGUGUAGCGGUGAAAUGCAUAGAUAUUACAUAGAAUACCGAUUGCGAAGGCAGA